This 710-nucleotide ribosomal RNA is filed under the name uncultured bacterium. Its description in RNAcentral is "bacterial SSU rRNA". It matches the Rfam family "Bacterial small subunit ribosomal RNA", at positions 94 to 823 of the family's 1533-position model. The record is from RNAcentral.
AGCGGCGGACAGGUGAGUAACGCGUGGGUAACCUGCCCUGUACACACGGAUAACAUACCGAAAGGUAUGCUAAUACGAGAUAAUAUGCUUUUAUCGCAUGGUAGAAGUAUCAAAGCUCCGGCGGUACAGGAUGGACCCGCGUCUGAUUAGCUAGUUGGUAAGGUAACGGCUUACCAAGGCGACGAUCAGUAGCCGACCUGAGAGGGUGAUCGGCCACAUUGGAACUGAGACACGGUCCAAACUCCUACGGGAGGCAGCAGUGGGGAAUAUUGCACAAUGGGCGAAAGCCUGAUGCAGCAACGCCGCGUGAGCGAUGAAGGCCUUCGGGUCGUAAAGCUCUGUCCUCAAGGAAGAUAAUGACGGUACUUGAGGAGGAAGCCCCGGCUAACUACGUGCCAGCAGCCGCGGUAAUACGUAGGGGGCUAGCGUUAUCCGGAAUUACUGGGCGUAAAGGGUGCGUAGGUGGUUUCUUAAGUCAGAGGUGAAAGGCUACGGCUCAACCGUAGUAAGCCUUUGAAACUGGGAAACUUGAGUGCAGGAGAGGAGAGUGGAAUUCCUAGUGUAGCGGUGAAAUGCGUAGAUAUUAGGAGGAACACCAGUUGCGAAGGCGGCUCUCUGGACUGUAACUGACACUGAGGCACGAAAGCGUGGGGAGCAAACAGGAUUAGAUACCCUGGUAGUCCACGCCGUAAACGAUGAGUACUAGCUGU